Molecule: RNA transcript, 6536 nt
Organism: Microplitis mediator
Lineage: Eukaryota; Metazoa; Arthropoda; Insecta; Hymenoptera; Braconidae
Gene name: eIF-2-alpha kinase GCN2-like
Exons: 8
Source: RefSeq, a predicted model, not a curated record
UACCGUCAUUAAUUUCCUCAAUAUUUUUUUUAUUUUCUUUUUUAUUUCCCGCUCUGUAAAAAUAAUAACAAUAACAAUAAUAAUAAUAAUAUCAUGGACAUGUGGGAAAACGCGCGUGUAUCACAUUGAGUUUCAAGUAAAAACAAUCUGAUAAACUUCAUGUGAUGAUUCAAAUAUAUGUAUAUAAAAUUACUAGAACGUAAAAUAAUAAAUAAAUACAAUGAGUGUAAUUUUAUAAUUAAAUAAAUAUAAUUACGCUAAAUAGAAGCAGUAUUAAAAUAAAUUUCUUUACAAUGUAGGCGAUAACUAUUAAUUGCUGAUACUGUAAAUGCGUAAUAAUAAGUGAUAUUUAUAAAUUACAAACUAUAACCUCACAAGUCCGCGGUUUUUUUAUAUAUCAGAUAUAAUUUUUUAAUUAAAAAUAUUUUUUACACUAGAGUAUGUAUUAAUUGUAUAGAAGUAAAUUUUAAUUGUUAGUUAAAAUGUCUCAGGUAGAAUCAUGUCAAGACAGACAAAAUAAUGAGUUUGAAGUUUUAAAGUCAAUAUUUGGGGAAGAUCUUAAAGAUCUGAGAAAUAAUAAAAAUAAACGGAAAUGGCAGCCUUUGAGUGUGAGUAUGACAUUGACACCAUCACAGGGAAUGUCAGGACCAGUACAAGUUUAUGCACAAAUAGACUUGCAUGUCACUUGUGGGGAUACAUAUCCAGAAGAUGUCCCGCAUAUUAAACUGAAAAAUAGUCUAGGUCUCUCCAAUCAACAAAUAGCCGUUUUGUAUUCGGAAUUAGAAAGUUUGGCAGAUAAGUUAAAGGGAGAAGUUAUGAUCUUUGAAUUAGCUCAGCAUGUUCAAAAAUUUUUGUACGAACACAACAAACCGAGCUACAAUAGCUUUUAUGAAGAGAUGGUGUCACGUCGUCAGGAAAAAAUUCAAUCUGAAAUGCAAGAGAAACAAUUGAAAGAGAAUCAAGAACGUCAGGUGCUGCAAGAUGAAAUCCAAAGACGUCAAGAAGCAUUGAAGGCAGAGCUUCGUGAUCGUAAAAGAAUAGCACGUUUGUCUCUGGAAUCAAAUGAAAUAUCUCAGUCGAUUCCAUCGUCACCUCAUGAACGUGUACGUGCGAACUCUCGAAGAAGAUGUUUGAGCUCGUCUGAGAGUCCAGAUAGUCCAUUAUCUGAGCGUCGUGCUACAAAACUGUUGCAUUUUAUAAGCAGUAGAGGAGAGAGACAAGUUCAUUUAGGUAAAUGCUUAGGCCAUAGUGUUAAAGGAUCAGCUGUUUAUGCUGGUGUUGAUAUUGUUACUGUUGAGCAUCUUGCUGUUACUGAAUGGACACUAAAAUGUUCAUCUCCCAGUGAUGAAAAUAGCGAGUCAGAGAACUUUAAUUUACAACAGUUGAUAAAACAAGUAGGAAGUAUUGAGCAGGAACUAAAUCAUCUGAAAAAAUUAUACCAUCCUAAUCUUGUUCAUUAUUUAGAUAUGAAGUAUUUACAAAAUGAAGACAGUAUUGUCGUAUAUAUACUCCAAGAAUUUGUUGUUGGUACAACGUGUUCUUUUUUUCGAAAGGAAAAGAUUCCUGUUAAUAUUGAUAUGUUACGAUAUCUUGCUACUGGGAUCCUUUCUGUAUUAGAGUAUUUACAUGAAAAUAAUAUUACGCAUAAAGAUUUAAGAGAUUCAAAUAUACAUAUAGACAAUACAGGAAGUGUUAAAGUAUCUGAUUAUUCGUUGAAGAAAAGACUUUCAAAUAUUUAUCGUUCAAAUUGUUUAGGUAAAGCCAAUAAUAAUUUUUCUACAAUUCAAGGCAGAGGAAAAAAAGAAAUAGAUAUUUAUAAAUUUGGUAUUUUACUUUUGACUUUGCUUAAAGUUAAAAAAAUAUCAGACAAUGAAGCUGAUUGGGGAUUAAAUAUACCGUCGACAUUGAAAGACUUUUUGUCAAAGUGUUUAAAUAGUAAUGAGAGACUACGAUGGUCAGCAAAACAAUUACAACAACAUGGGUUUAUUCGGACACCUUUUUUAAAUGAUAUAUCGUCACCAAAACACUGCGAUAAACAAGAAAAUUAUUUUGAGCCGGAGGAGCCAACGUCUGAUUCAAGAAUGAAAAAUGAAUUUAAAAUUCUUGAAUCGUUGGGUGAAGGUGCAUUUGGUGAUGUUUGGAAAGUCAGAAAUAAAUUAGAUCUUAGAGUUUACGCUAUAAAACGAAUUGCUUUGGAUCCAAAAAGCAAACAAUCGAAUAAAAAAAUGAUAAGGGAAGUUAAAUUACUUUCAAGACUGAACCACGAAAAUGUUGUGCGAUAUUAUAAUUCUUGGAUUGAAAAUGUAAAUGUUAUUAAUGAUAAAAACAAUUCAUCAUCUCCAUCGGACAGUGUGUCUUUUAAUAAAAGUAAAGUUAAACAUACAAAAAAAAAUGAUUUAGAAAGUUUGGAAUCUCGGACAAUUGACGAUUCUGAAGAAGACAGCAGUAGUAGCAGUAGCAGUUCCAGUGAUGAAGACAGUGAAGAUGAAGGAGCAUUUUUUCACUCUACGCAAAAAUCUUUCGAUUAUUCAGACAGUAUAGAAUUUAAGAUAGAUAGUGAAUCUCAAAUAAUUGAUUCUAAGGCAGAGUCAUACGAAACAUCGGAAAAAAUAACGAGCGAAGAGAACAGUACUAUGGAACAUACAACUAAAUUUAUGUAUAUACAGAUGGAGUUUUGUGAAAAAAGUACACUGAGAACUGCAAUUGAUAAUAAUUUGUAUGAAGAUAAAGAUCGUGUUUGGCGGUUGUUUAGAGAAAUGGUUGAGGGUAUCGCGUAUAUUCAUCAACAAGGAAUGAUUCACCGGGAUUUAAAACCAGUAAAUAUAUUUUUGGACAGUAAUGAUCAUGUUAAAAUUGGCGAUUUUGGUUUAGCGACGACAAAUAUAUUGUGCUCGAUUGUACAAACAAUCGAUAAUGAAAGAGAAGCUGAAAUAGAAAAUAAAAAUGAUAUUAUUCUUGAUGAGCCGAGAUCAAUGACUGGUCAAGUAGGAACUGCUCUCUACGUUGCUCCAGAGUUGAGAAUUGAAGUAGCAAAAGCUCGAUAUAAUCAAAAGGUUGACAUUUACAGCCUUGGGAUAAUACUCUUUGAAAUGUGUUACAAACCACCUGAAACUAAAAUGGAAAGAGUUACUAUUCUUCAAAAAGUAAGAUCUAAAGAAAUAAUUCUUCCUUUUGAUAUGACCGAGACUGAAAUGCCACAUCAAAUUCAUCUUUUGCGUUGGUUGCUCAAUCAUGACCCUAAUCAACGACCAACAGCUCAAGAGCUUCUAACGUCUGAAUAUCUACCUCCACCGUUGCUAGAAGAGGCGGAAUUACAAGAAAUGGUACAACACACAUUGUCAAACAGUCAAAGUAAAGCUUACAAAUAUAUGAUUGCUAGUUGUUUUGCCCAAGAAGUCACUCCAGCUGAGAAUAUUAAUUACGAUAUGAGUGUGCCAAACAGGCCAGCAACCAGUUCAUCAUUAGUAGUUCAUGGAUUUCAUCCCAAAGAACUUUAUGAAAGUGCAUUUGACAUUAUAAGUUCAACUGUAAAUUUAAUGGCUGAAGCUGAACUUAUUCGUAUUGCUUGGGAAAUUUUUAAUGAAUUCUCUGAAAUGCGUCAAUUCGAUUUUACAGUCCGUCUAAAUCAUACUUCUUUAUUUGAAGCGAUUUUUAUGUAUUGCGGAAUCGGACCAGAAAAAUUUCAAGAGAUCUAUUCAAUAUUUGGUGAUGCACGAGACGGCAAGUGUCAAACAUUUCCAAAGCAAUCCCAUUUUAGAAAUGUAUGCCUAACUGAUCACGUGAUAGCAACACUUUCUACUCUAUUUAAUACUGAAAACAAUGUAUUAAAAAUUGCAAGUAUUUUUAAAAAACUUACUAUCCGCACGGGCGACGCUGCUAUUUUGGCAAAAAAUGCUCUUGGAGAAAUUGAGACUGUCACUGCUCAUAUUGAAGCAUUAGGAGUCAAGGUACGUCAAUUCUGUUGAGCCUCACAACAGGAAGAUAUUCUAUCGGGAUAAUCAACAGACGAUUUCCUGCAGUGUGUCAAGACAGCACGUGGUUUUUGUGCAGUUCUGAAAAUUAGCGUGCAAUUAAAAAUAAAAUUAUUUUAUUAAAUAAAUUUAAAAAAGAAAAUAAUUACCCGCUGAACCAAAGGAUUUAUAACAAUCCUGACAAAUAUAUUCAAUGCUAUGAAUUUUGUAGCAGACCUCAUCAUCUAGAUUCAAAACAUUGUAAUCAUUAUUGACAAAAUCCUACAAGCAAAAUAUUUAUAAUAAACAUUUGUUUAAAAUUUAAAUUAUAGCGCGCGAUCAUUCGCGCUCGAAAUAUGGAAUCACUUACUGAUGGGGCAGCAGGUUCUUCAGUCAAAAGAGUUUCAAUGAUUGUUGAAAUAAUUAUACUAUUUUCUGGAAGGCUCAGGAUUCCCACACUCGAAGACAUUUGUUGGGAAGCUGUUUUCCAUUACUAUCCAGACUUGAAAUCAAUGACUGACAAGGAAAUUAUGUCCCUCGGUCUUCCAUUGCAGUUACUCAAGUCGCGUAUUAAUUAAUAAAAUACUUAUAAGUAAAUUCAUCGUAUUCAUUUUUUUUUAUUUAUUAUACACUAGCAUUUAAAAUUAUAAUGUUCAUAAAUCCAUUUGAAACCAAAUUUAUCAUUUUUAAAGUUUACUGUUACUUUUCUAUAAUAAAAAAUGUACUAAAAAAUUUUAUGUCUUCACGGAAAAAAUCGAACUAUAGAAAUUGAGAACGACAAGUUAUAUAAUGAUAAAGUGAUCAGUGAAAAUUAUCAUUCUAAAUAGUAAUUUUUUCAUUUAUGAUUAAAGCGUUAAUAAUUACAGGAUAAGUAUGAAAAUUUAUUGUCUAUGCAAAAAAAAUUACUAUUUGAACUUUAAAAAUCGUAACUGAUACUUAAAAAAUUGACGACACGUAUUAUAAAAUUUAUUAUUUGGAGUGUUAAAAUUCCCCAUAUUGACAACCGGGUUUCGAUUUAUAAUUUCAAACACUAAUUUUUAAAGUUUAUUUGUUUCCGUGUUGUUUUUUUAUUCUAUAAUAAUAUAUGUCACGAAUUAGACAGUUUAUUUUUUAUUUAUAUUAAAAAUUACCUUUUUUUUCUUUAAUUACUAUUUUUUUUACGUAUUCUUCACCCUGAUCUAAAAUCUUUAUAUUUAAUUCCUAGUCACACAAUUUACUAUUUCACCAGAUCUGUAUCUGAAAGUUUAAAUUUUUGCCUCGGUUUGUCUGAAGAAUGGCGCAUGCGUUAGUUUCUAUCAUUUCCUUAUUCUCAGCAGAGAAAAGAACGACUAUCUUCCCUCCAAACAAGGCAGCAAUUUGCACUUCCGGUUCAGGUGGGGUGAAAAUGAGUUAAAGAUUUUAAUAAUUAAUUUUCUAUUGUCCCAGCAAGAGAAUGGACCUCGGUUUUUACUCCCACUCUGGAUGUUUUAUGUGUUAAAUGUUCUCCCGCUUUUCUGUGCGCAUGCGCAGUUCAUAAAUGUUCGGUAGUGGGGGCAAUUUCCGAGAUCUAUUCUCUUACUGGGACCACAAUAUUUUUGUUUUUUCCCUCUUGCUGGGUUUUGUGCCCAGCUGGCCUUUGAAAGUUUCGUACAGCCAACGUUUGUGGAAUGAACCACAAUAGUUAUACGGCCCAUGUAUUUUACUGAGGUCGCUGUUGUCGAGAUAUCCACGUGUGUUUCGUAUUAAUAAAAUCAGUUAACCUUUGAAGUGAUACAUAAAAAAAAAAUAAAAUAAAUUACUUCAAAUAAGAUUUUCAUUCAUCAAUAAAAAUUGCAUGGAGAUUUUGAUUUUUUUUAUUAUUUUAAAAAGUGAAUAAAAAAGUUUAAUAAUUAUUAUGAUACUAAAGUUAGCCGAGGAUCAUUAAUUAUUUAAAAAAUGUACGCAUUCAAGCCGCACGUGUUUACUAAACACUCUAUAUACAGUAUUACAAAACCUGAAGGAAAAAUGGAAGCAAUAAUAUGCUGUGAUGGUAAAAAUUUAUAUUUUAACGGCAAGUCUGCAAAUAAUAGCGAAUUUCAUAAUAUCUGGGAGUACAAUUUAGCUGGACAACAAUGGAGAUUAUUGAUAUCAAUAAGGCGUCUAAACAAUUCACUAUAUACUAAUGAUUUAAUUAUUGGUACUAUUUUUGAAUCAAAUUAUUUAGGUAUUUGCACACUACAAAGGCAAAACACAAGACAAAGACCUUUCAAUGACGAACUGUCAAGCCGCACAUCUCAAUUACAUGUUUGUGAUUUGAAUAGUAAAAGUAGUAUUGUUCGAAGAACAAGUGGACAAGCUCCAUAUCAUGCAUAUCGACAUAAUUUCAUUCGCCAUGGAAAAUAUUUGUAUAUUGCCGGAAUCGAAAGAGAUUAUAAUGAAACCUUUUUCGAUGUAUAUAAAUUAAAUAUGGAAAAUGAUGUAUGGGAAGUUGAUUACAUCUGUCGAGGACUUGAUGCUAAUGAACCAGUUGGUGGUGGUUCGCAUCAUACUUUAGUUUACAGUAACAAUAUGAUUUAUAUAUUCGGUGAUUGUGAUCUUGGUCGCAGAAGGGGUCCAUUUUCGUUUCUC